UGAAAGCCUUCAGCAAGACAUUGCUUACCUUG
This 32-nucleotide non-coding RNA is filed under the name Mus musculus (house mouse). Lineage: Eukaryota; Metazoa; Chordata; Mammalia; Rodentia; Muridae. The record is from RNAcentral.